RNAcentral lists this transfer RNA (90 nucleotides) under Actinomycetes bacterium. RNAcentral's name for it is "Actinobacteria bacterium tRNA-Ser". It matches the Rfam family "tRNA". Rfam says of the family: Transfer RNA (tRNA) molecules are approximately 80 nucleotides in length. Their secondary structure includes four short double-helical elements and three loops (D, anti-codon, and T loops). Further hydrogen bonds mediate the characteristic L-shaped molecular structure. tRNAs have two regions of fundamental functional importance: the anti-codon, which is responsible for specific mRNA codon recognition, and the 3' end, to which the tRNAs corresponding amino acid is attached (by aminoacyl-tRNA synthetases). tRNAs cope with the degeneracy of the genetic code in two manners: having more than one tRNA (with a specific anti-codon) for a particular amino acid; and 'wobble' base-pairing, i.e. permitting non-standard base-pairing at the 3rd anti-codon position. RNAcentral also lists the same sequence under 2 other names. The record is from RNAcentral. Lineage: Bacteria; Bacillati; Actinomycetota; Actinomycetes.
GGAGAGGUGGCCGAGUGGCUGAAGGCACUCGCCUGCUAAGCGAGUAUGGGGAUCAAUACUCCAUCGCGGGUUCGAAUCCCGCCCUCUCCG